UACGUAGGGCGCAAGCGUUAUCCGGAAUUAUUGGGCGUAAAGAGCUCGUAGGCGGUGUGUCGCGUCGGCCGUGAAAACCUGGGGCUCAACUCUGGGCGUGCGGUCGAUACGGGCAUCACUUGAGUUCGGCAGGGGAGACUGGAAUUCCUGGUGUAGCGGUGAAAUGCGCAGAUAUCAGGAGGAACACCAGUGGCGAAGGCGGCCUGCUGGGCUAUGGCUGACACUGAGGCGCGACAGCGUGGGGAGCAAACAGG
This 254-nucleotide ribosomal RNA is filed under the name uncultured bacterium. RNAcentral's name for it is "partial 16S ribosomal RNA". It matches the Rfam family "Bacterial small subunit ribosomal RNA", at positions 524 to 776 of the family's 1533-position model. The record is from RNAcentral.